This 649-nucleotide ribosomal RNA is filed under the name uncultured bacterium. Its description in RNAcentral is "bacterial SSU rRNA". It matches the Rfam family "Bacterial small subunit ribosomal RNA", at positions 743 to 1390 of the family's 1533-position model. The record is from RNAcentral.
ACGCUGAGGAGCGAAAGGGUGGGGAGCAAACAGGCUUAGAUACCCUGGUAGUCCACCCCGUAAACGUUGGGAACUAGUUGUGGGGGCCUUUCCACGGUCUCCGUGACGCAGCUAACGCAUUAAGUUCCCCGCCUGGGGAGUACGGCCGCAAGGCUAAAACUCAAAGGAAUUGACGGGGACCCGCACAAGCGGCGGAGCAUGCGGAUUAAUUCGAUGCAACGCGAAGAACCUUACCAAGGCUUGACAUACACCGGAAACGUCCAGAGAUGGUCGCCCCUUUUUGGUCGGUGUACAGGUGGUGCAUGGUUGUCGUCAGCUCGUGUCGUGAGAUGUUGGGUUAAGUCCCGCAACGAGCGCAACCCUCGUUCUAUGUUGCCAGCACGUUAUGGUGGGAACUCAUGGGAUACUGCCGGGGUCAACUCGGAGGAAGGUGGGGAUGACGUCAAAUCAUCAUGCCCCUUAUGUCUUGGGCUUCACGCAUGCUACAAUGGCCGGUACAAUGGGCUGCGAUACCGUGAGGUGGAGCGAAUCCCAAAAAGCCGGUCCCAGUUCGGAUCGUAGUCUGCAACUCGACUACGUGAAGUCGGAGUCGCUAGUAAUCGCAGAUCAGCAACGCUGCGGUGAAUACGUUCCCGGGUCUUGUACACAC